This 643-nucleotide long non-coding RNA is filed under the name Homo sapiens (human). RNAcentral's name for it is "non-protein coding lnc-EMC9-1:1". Lineage: Eukaryota; Metazoa; Chordata; Mammalia; Primates; Hominidae. The record is from RNAcentral.
AUGCUGUGGCCAAGGCCUCCAAGGAGACUCAUGUAGUGAGUGGAUAGUCCACCAGCCUUUUAGCUGGGUGUGGGACGAGGAGGUGUGGAGGAAGAAGUCCUCCUUGUCUUGUUUGUGACUUUCCCAAUGUGGAGAAUAUUAAGCUAAAAGCAUUACCUAGAAAAACUGGUUUGGGCUUCAACAACCUUGACCCUUUUCUCUGCUCAGUCCUUUGGGAUCCUAUUUCUUGGUGCUAAGAAGGGGUUCAUUCUCAAGUUAACCUAUUUCCUAUAAAAGGAAACCAGACUCAUGUCCCAGCCUCCCAUGGGACUGACUCAGCUUUGCCUCCCACAUUGCAGAUGGAUUACCGGGCCUUGGUGCAUGAGCGAGAUGAGGCAGCCUAUGGGGAGCUCAGGGCCAUGGUGCUGGACCUGAGGGCCUUCUAUGUGAGUGUGGAGUAAGGCUUUAGGGGAGGUGGAUGAGUGGGGGCAGGCAGGGGAUUGGCUAAGAACCUGACUCUUGCACUCUGGCCUUCUCCCAGGCUGAGCUUUAUCAUAUCAUCAGCAGCAACCUGGAGAAAAUUGUCAACCCAAAGGGUGAAGAAAAGCCAUCUAUGUACUGAACCCGGGACUAGAAGGAAAAUAAAUGAUCUAUAUGUUGUGUG